RNAcentral lists this transfer RNA (73 nucleotides) under Stegodyphus mimosarum. It matches the Rfam family "tRNA". From Rfam's summary of the family: Transfer RNA (tRNA) molecules are approximately 80 nucleotides in length. Their secondary structure includes four short double-helical elements and three loops (D, anti-codon, and T loops). Further hydrogen bonds mediate the characteristic L-shaped molecular structure. tRNAs have two regions of fundamental functional importance: the anti-codon, which is responsible for specific mRNA codon recognition, and the 3' end, to which the tRNAs corresponding amino acid is attached (by aminoacyl-tRNA synthetases). tRNAs cope with the degeneracy of the genetic code in two manners: having more than one tRNA (with a specific anti-codon) for a particular amino acid; and 'wobble' base-pairing, i.e. permitting non-standard base-pairing at the 3rd anti-codon position. Lineage: Eukaryota; Metazoa; Arthropoda; Arachnida; Araneae; Eresidae. The record is from Rfam by way of RNAcentral.
GGCCGCUUCGCUAAUUCGAUAAGGCAUCUGACUUCGAAUCACAAGACCGUAGAUUCAAAUCCUGUCGCGGACG